ACCUUAUUAUGUCUGUCUGGUGAGGAACGAAUUUAAUAUAGGGUGAAAAUUUCAUGUCGCUGACUCGACAAAUUAUGAAUUUAGGUACUAAACUAGUAAUAAUUUUAGAAACAACUUCGACCUACUUUCAGAGAAGUAUGUCAUUCUUCCAUGCGCAACUUUUUUUUUAGAAAUUUUAUUUUUCUGCAAAAAAGCGAUAUAUCAUUAUUGAUAACGUUUGAACUAAGAUAAUAGAAUAGAAAUUUGAAAAAGUAUCUAAGUGUAUAACGUUCGUGCAUAUGAACAAAGCAGAAAAGUAAUGAGGAUUAAAGAAUAUACAGUUAGAGGCAAAAAUAUAAACUGCAGCGUCGAAACACAACAUUCCACCAAAAGCGAUCUUUCUCAACUGACUGAAUUGAAGCGGAUUGCAAGAUUCACGAAGCAAGCAAAUCGUGCUUACCUCGUCCCAUCCCGAACUCUCCCGAUUCGACGCCAGUCGCUGCGCUCUGAUUGGCCCCUUUUCCUCUAGUCAACUGGACGAAAUCCUGUCUUUCUUUCGCCCCGCUCAAAGUACGACACGACAUGUUCGGAAACUCUGAUUAUACGUUUCUAGAGCAAUAAACUCUUUUAUAUUAUUCAAACAAUUCAGAAGUUUUUUUUUUUAUACCUUUUCGGUUAAUCAGGUGCCAAUGUUCCUUCGGUGAGCAGAUAAAAAUCUGUUGAUUCUACGUGACUAAAACUGUUGACAGUUACACCUUUCGAUAACUACACUGGUUUGAAAAAACUGGUUCAGAUUGUGUAAUUUAAAAUUCUGCGAAGCUGUAUCUAUUAACAAUCAAUGCUACAAAUCUAUAGUACGAAAAAAGUAGACAUAUAAUAUAUCUGUGUAUCUUUUACUGUUUACUUGCAAAAAAGAAUUUCGAUUAAAAUAUGAGUUCGAAUAAAUUUAAUAAAAGGGAAAAUUCCUUCGCGGUUUUAGUUGAUUGUAAGAAUGUUGGGAAAGUAAUGAAGUAUGUACAUUUAGGAAUGCAAUCAAUGUGGCAAUUCGUUAGUCUUUCCAUUUCUACUGUAUUAUUGCGCACAAUCCAAAGAAUUAUAAACUAUUUAUUAUAUAUCAAAAAUGCUAUUAAAAAGUAAUAACAAAUGAUC
Non-coding RNA from Osmia lignaria (orchard mason bee), 1128 nucleotides. NCBI's taxonomy places the organism in Eukaryota, Metazoa, Arthropoda, Insecta, Hymenoptera, Megachilidae. The record is from RefSeq and is a predicted model, not a curated record.